RNAcentral lists this ribosomal RNA (265 nucleotides) under uncultured prokaryote. Its description in RNAcentral is "partial 16S ribosomal RNA". It matches the Rfam family "Bacterial small subunit ribosomal RNA", at positions 524 to 788 of the family's 1533-position model. The record is from RNAcentral.
UACGUAGGUGGCAAGCGUUAUCCGGAAUUAUUGGGCGUAAAGAGCGCGCAUGUGGUUGAUUAAGUCUGAUGUGAAAGCCCACGGCUUAACCGUGGAGGGUCAUUGGAAACUGGUCGACUUGAGUGCAGAAGAGGGAAGUGGAAUUCCAUGUGUAGCGGUGAAAUGCGUAGAUAUUAGGAGGAACACCAGUGGCGAAGGCGGCUUACUGGACUGUAACUGACGUUGAGGCUCGAAAGCGUGGGGAGCAAACAGGAUUAGAUACCCU